CAGUAGCCACGGUAAUACGGAGGGCGCGAGCGUUACCCGGAUUUACUGGGCGUAAAGGGCGUGUAGGCGGCCUGGGGCGUCCCAUGUGAAAGGCCACGGCUCAACCGUGGAGGAGCGUGGGAUACGCUCAGGCUAGAGGGUGGGAGAGGGUGGUGGAAUUCCCGGAGUAGCGGUGAAAUGCGCAGAUACCGGGAGGAACGCCGAUGGCGAAGGCAGCCACCUGGUCCACUUCUGACGCUGAGGCGCGAAAGCGUGGGGAGCAAACCGGAUUAGAUACCCCCGUAGUCCCUGUCUCUUAUAU
Molecule: ribosomal RNA, 301 nt
Filed under: uncultured bacterium
Lineage: Bacteria
Description: partial 16S ribosomal RNA
Rfam family: Bacterial small subunit ribosomal RNA
Source: RNAcentral